CCCAGGCGAACGCGCCAGCCCCGAGCCCCGUCCCACCACAUCCGGCGGGGGUGACGAAUCCCACCUUGCCGCCGCCCCCGAACCGCCACGGCUCGCAGGAGGGGGCGGGCGCGGUCUGCCCCUCUCCCCACGAAGGCGAGAGGGCGGGUGGCUAGGUGUGGGGAACUCAGACACAAAGAGACUAAAUGACUUGUCCAAGAUCACACAAGAAGUCUGUGACAGAGCAGAGAAUUUAACCCCUGUUCCGUGGAUACCAGUCUAGCGUCCUUUCUUUUGGAUCAUUGUUCCUGUCCACACCGGCUAAUGGACAACUGUACAAUAAGAUGUUCUCCAAUCAUUUCCUUACAAUUCAUGAAAUUGCUCCCUGUAAGCUCACUCAGUAGCAAGCACAAGAUGGAUGUCAGUAAUUGUGAUUCAGAAAAUGUCACAUCAGUAAGUCACUGAUAGAACAGAACUUUGCAACAAGACGCUCACAGUACAGGUUGUCAUCGGGCUGAACUCCUCAAAGCAUUUCAGGCCUGUGUUCUCCUCCUCUGGUCUUCAGCUUAUUACCUCUAGUUUCUCUUUUUGCUACCACGAUUCUGUUGUUUCAUGGAAAAUACAGCUCUUGUUGUCUUCAUCAGUAUGAAGAAUUUGCUUCUGUCCAUUCUAUAAAAGGAUUUUAAUGUAGGAAGAAGAAACUUCCCAGCAUUUUAUCUUUAUACAAACCUCGAAUAAAAACAUCACAUCAACAUAAAACUUCAGACGUGCAUCAAGAGCAGAUAGUUAACACAAACCACCCAGAAGGCGCCCACUCAUGAGACCAGGCUUGGAAUAUGUGGCAGAAACAAUCAUUGUGUUCUUCGCCGCUGAGACCAGAGUUGGCCAGAAGAAUAGCAACAUUAAAAGCAAACUGACUAAUGAAGAUUAGAGUACUCCAAACAGUCUGGCAGAGAUGCAGCUCAAACCACACAGGUCUGCUCAACAGCUCACCCAGUACGCAAGGGCCACCCUCCUACUGAACUGCAAAUUGGACACAAAGUUACAGGCAGCUUAUCACCAGCUUGAAAUCCUGGAAUACAAAGACUGCAAGACAGCAGUGAAGAGGCAGAAAAAGUGCUCCACUAAAAUAGAUCAAGAACAGUGACUUGUGGUUUCUAGGGUGACACUGUGGAUAAGCCCAGGGGAUUUGAUUAACUGCAGCUCACAUGAGGUGGCAUAAAUUAUUCAUUUCUAGCCUAUGCAAACUUAACUGGUUGCUGUGUCAGCAAAUAUGCCAAGACUUGCUUCCAGUAUACUUUGUGCUAAGUUAGAAAUCCUCUUCCGAUUGAGCCCUUGAUUCCCUCCCACUGGCAUGUGGGACCUGGAGGUGCAAUUUCUACUCGAUGCACUAGAGGGAACUGUUUCCCUUCGGGGAAUGCACCUUUAACCUGCCAUUGAGCCUUGGAGUCCCACUGACAGAGGUUGUCUGGCAGAAACUGGUGCAUAACCUGCGAGGAGUUUGCCACACCCACUACUAGCACCAUGCAUUUUGGGACUACAUCAGUCAGUUCUGGGCUUCCCUAUCAGAGCAGGACUUGUGGGCACCAUGCUUUGCUGAGACUCCUAGUCUAGGCAAACUUUAUCCUUCUGGUUGGAAUGAAUCAAGCCGGAGACCUAUUAAAUAACCAGGCAGUAGCCAAGCUAUUCCCUUAACAGGAUGGGUAUUUACUCCGGAGGCUUUCAUUAUCUUAUGAAAAAUGGUUUGGAACCCAGAAAAUGUACUAAUUUAGGCGAUCUGCUGUAUUAAUACACUUCAGUUUUAUCUAUAUUAAACCUUUCAAUGCACAAGA
Long non-coding RNA from Mauremys reevesii (Reeves's turtle), 1811 nucleotides. RefSeq lists it as uncharacterized. The record is from RefSeq and is a predicted model, not a curated record. NCBI's taxonomy places the organism in Eukaryota, Metazoa, Chordata, Testudines, Geoemydidae. The transcript is spliced from 7 exons.